UUAGGAAUCUUCCACAAUGGGCGAAGGCCUGAUGGAGCGACGCCGCGUGAGGGAUGAAGGCCUUAGGGUUGUAAACCUCUAAAAGAGGGACGAUAAUGACGGUACCUCUUGAAUAGCACCGGCUAACUCCGUGCCAGCAGCCGCGGUAAUACGGGGGGUGCAAGCGUUAUCCGGAAUCACUGGGCGUAAAGGGCGCGUAGGCGGUCUGUUAAGUCCGAUGUUAAAUCCCGGGGCUCAACCCCGGAUAAGCGUUGGAUACUGGCAGGCUAGACGGUUGGAGAGGCGAGUGGAAUUACCAGUGUAGCGGUGGAAUGCGUAGAUACUGGUAGGAACACCCAUUGCGAAGGCAGCUCGCUGGACAACACGUGACGCUGAGGCGCGAAAGUGUGGGGAGCAAACC
Molecule: ribosomal RNA, 400 nt
Filed under: uncultured bacterium
Lineage: Bacteria
Description: bacterial SSU rRNA
Rfam family: Bacterial small subunit ribosomal RNA
Source: RNAcentral